RNAcentral lists this long non-coding RNA (1708 nucleotides) under Nicotiana benthamiana. Its description in RNAcentral is "long non-coding RNA (NBEN_LNC010484)". Lineage: Eukaryota; Viridiplantae; Streptophyta; Magnoliopsida; Solanales; Solanaceae. The record is from RNAcentral.
ACCGAAACAACCUAAUUCAGACCCGUGGUCUAACAAUAUGAGAUAAACCAACUUCCAGGAUCGGAUUUCCAAAAGCCUUUCUCUUAUUUGGGAUGUGUCAAAAUUCCAAGUCUCAACGGGCUCUGGGUAGUGCUUGCACCCCAAAUACAUUGCAUAAUUAGAUCAUAGUGCAGUAUGGAAGGGCCAGCCCUCCAAUGCCCAAGUUUAAAGCGACCUCAAGGUCCCAAAGCAAUGAUCAUAAGAGGGGGGGAAACACUUAGGGUCUAAGAGUAAGUGGAAGUGCAUAAAGAGGGAAUUAGGGAAAUCCACGACAAGCUAGUGGUCAUGCCUAGAAAUUGGGAGUGAUGGCACACCCCUAACCAGCCUGUUAGCCAAAUCUUAGGAGUUAGGAUCCAUUGUGGAUCAGGUUAUAAACUGGGCAGUAAUUUUGAUACUGCCAAGCCAAAAACCUUAACUCAAACACAUAGAAGAGAAUAGGGGUAGGGAUUCACGAUAGAAACAGAUGCAAGGAAAGGACAUACAUAGUCUAAUCACAGAACAUCAAUAGUAAAGUAAACAAGAAUGAUGAAGUUAUGAAGUAAACACAUAGGGAUGAAGCAGAAAAUUAAAUCAGAGCAUACAAGUUUCAGGGAAAAUAAGUAAAAACAUGAGUCUUAAUGAAGCCAAGUUGCAAGAAAAACAACUCCAAAAGAUCUCAAGAAAAAGCAAAAUGUUGAAAGAGUAUUGAACUCAAAGUAGUAAGUGUGUGAGAGUAUUGAAUUGGGAGUUAGAGAUGAUUUUACUGAAAGUGUUAAGAGUGCAGAAGGGCAAUCCCUUUUAUAAUGCAAAAUACAAGUAAAAAAGAUAAGGAAAUAUCAUUGAAAUCAAUCUCCAUUUAGUUAAGGGAUUCUAAUUUCAACGGGUACAAACUAAUUAUGGAAAGAAGUUUUGAUUAAAACCUUUUCAAAGUAGCACAAAAGGGAUAAAUACAUAGAAGUCAUUUAAGGAAGAGUUCUUGAUAGUACAUGGUUGUAAAAUUUAAGGAAAGGAAAUAAUUUGACAGCCAAGAAAUCAUAAGUCGAAAAUUUUGUAUGAAUGAAGCAAGUCAGAAAUAUGGAAAGAUGUUAACUUAAGGAAAAUCAAUAUUAAUCAAUUGGACCUAUUAAAAGGAAUUCUGAAUCAAUCACAAGUUAGAAAACCCCCCUUUGAAGAAAGAUUCAUCACAUACAAAGGCACACAGACACAUUAAAACAUAAAGAAAUUUGUCAUGCCAUUGUAAGGCUAAUGAAAACUCCAGGGAAGUCAAAAUUACAUGAAAAAUAAGGAAGUCCAAACUCAGUUCGUAGGCUCAGAGAUUAGUCUGAGGAGUCAAGGGUUCUCAAAUAGAACCAUAAUUCAAUUACUUGACCAAACUCGGACCCCAAAUUGUAUGGUUUCUACUUCGAGUCAAAUACAGAGAUGAGGAGGCAACUUGCUCAGACAUUUCGGAAUCUGAUAAGAAGACAAGCAAGUACAAUAGAAAAUUCAAACCAAACAAAGUGAAGGAACUAACUCAGAGCAUAAUGAGAGAACAAAUAUGAUAGUAGAAGAAACAUGUUUAAGAAACCUUUCAGAAGGGACUUAAGAACUUAGCAAAAGAAAUAUAAUAGGAGAACACAAGAACAUUGGAAACGUAUAGCAAAGAGCAUAUAGGAAAACAUAAUGAGAUGAACAUGUGAGCAUGGUAUAG